This 735-nucleotide long non-coding RNA is filed under the name Salmo salar (Atlantic salmon). Its description in RNAcentral is "lncRNA (ENSSSAG00000103368.1)". Lineage: Eukaryota; Metazoa; Chordata; Actinopteri; Salmoniformes; Salmonidae. The record is from RNAcentral.
GUAACACAGUCCAAUAACACCAGCAUAAACACGUAACACAGUCCAAUAACACCAACAUAAACAUGUAACAGUCCAAUAACACCAGCAUAAACACGUAACACCACAGUCCAAUAACACCAGCAUAAACACGUAACACAGUCCAAUAACACCAGCAUAAACAUGUAACACAGUCCAAUAACACCAGCAUAAACAGGUAACACAGUCCAAUAACACCAGCAUAAACAUGUAACACAGUCCAAUAACACCAGCAUAAAGAAAAUAGCCCAUAAAGUACCCUCCUUCCAAACACAACCUUACUUGACUUCAGAAAUACACUCAUUAUGCCAGUAGGACAUGCUGAGAAUGAUAAACACAAUACCCACUGACACACACGAUGCAGGAAUGCACACACACACACACACACACACACACACACACAAACACACAAAAACUCCCACUAUCAAAACAGGUCUAUACACCCAAACACAUAGAUUGGUAACUAAGGACAGAAAAACCUAGGAGAAUAACAAUCCUGCCUAGAGGUCACUGAAUCAAAUAAAUUAAACACGUGUGCAUGGGGACGUCUCAGUCAUAUUUCUGUGUAAGGGAUCUUCUCAUAUUUCUGUGUAAGGGAUCUUCUCAUAUGUCUGUGUAAGGGAUCUUCUCAUAUGUCUGUGUAAGGGAUCUUCUCAUAUGUCUGUGUAAGGGAUCUUCUCAUAUGUCUGUGUAAGGGAUCUUCUCAUAUGUCUGUGUAAG